RNAcentral lists this transfer RNA (72 nucleotides) under Bos taurus (domestic cattle). It matches the Rfam family "tRNA". From Rfam's summary of the family: Transfer RNA (tRNA) molecules are approximately 80 nucleotides in length. Their secondary structure includes four short double-helical elements and three loops (D, anti-codon, and T loops). Lineage: Eukaryota; Metazoa; Chordata; Mammalia; Artiodactyla; Bovidae. RNAcentral also lists the same sequence under 3 other names. The record is from Rfam by way of RNAcentral.
UCCCUGGUAGCUCAGAUGGUAAAGAAUCUGCCUGCAAUGCAGGAGACCUGGGUUCGAUCCUUAGUUCAGGAA